RNAcentral lists this ribosomal RNA (235 nucleotides) under Glomeromycetes sp. RNAcentral describes it as "partial small subunit ribosomal RNA". The stretch from base 87 to 235 matches the Rfam family "Eukaryotic small subunit ribosomal RNA", at positions 737 to 887 of the family's 1831-position model. Lineage: Eukaryota; Fungi; Glomeromycota; Glomeromycetes. The record is from RNAcentral.
AAAAAUUUCGGUUGCAUUUUGGGUGUGUACUGGAGCGGUGGAGGCUUACCUCGUGGUGAGCUGUUAUGCCCUUUACUGGGUGUGGCAGGGAACCAUGAUUUUUACUUUGAAAAAAUUAGAGUGUUCAAAGCAGGCUUACGCCCGAAUACAUUAGCAUGGAAUAAUAAAAUAGGACGUGCGGUCCUAUUUUGUUGGUUUCUAGGAUCGCCGUAAUGAUUAAUAGGGAUAGUUGGGA